GAUGAACGCUGGCGGCGCGCCUAACACAUGCAAGUCGAACGAUUAAAGCACCUUCGGGUGUGUAUAAAGUGGCGAACGGCUGAGUAACACGCGGGCAACCUGCCCCUUUCAUUGGGAUAGCCACGGGAAACCGUGGAUAAUACCGAAUACUUCGAGACUUCCGCAUGGAAGACUCGAGAAAGCUCCGGCGGAGAGGGAUGGGCCCGCGGCCUGUUAGCUUGUUGGUGGGGUAACGGCCUACCAAGGCAAUGAUGGGUAGCUGGGUUGAGAGACCGACCAGCCAGAUUGGGACUGAGACACGGCCCAGACUCCUACGGGAGGCAGCAGUGGGGAAUCUUGCACAAUGGGCGAAAGCCUGAUGCAGCGACGCCGCGUGCGGGAUGAAGGCCUUCGGGUUGUAAACCGCUUUCAGCAGGGACGAGGCGAGAGUGACGGUACCUGCAGAAGAAGCCCCGGCUAACUACGUG
Molecule: ribosomal RNA, 467 nt
Filed under: uncultured bacterium
Lineage: Bacteria
Description: partial 16S ribosomal RNA
Rfam family: Bacterial small subunit ribosomal RNA
Source: RNAcentral